GACGAACGCUGGCGGCGUGCUUAACACAUGCAAGUCGAACGGAAAGGCCCUUCUUUUGUGGGGUGCUCGAGUGGCGAACGGGUGAGUAACACGUGAGUAACCUGCCCUUGACUUUGGGAUAACUUCAGGAAACUGGGGCUAAUACCGGAUAGGAGCUCCUGCUGCAUGGUGGGGGUUGGAAAGUUUCGGCGGUUGGGGAUGGACUCGCGGCUUAUCAGCUUGUUGGUGGGGUAGUGGCUUACCAAGGCUUUGACGGGUAGCCGGCCUGAGAGGGUGACCGGCCACAUUGGGACUGAGAUACGGCCCAGACUCCUACGGGAGGCAGCACUGGGGAAUAUUGCACAAUGGGCGGAAGCCUGAUGCAGCAACGACGCGUGCGGGAUGACGGCCGUCGGGUUGUAAACCGCUUUCGCCUGUGACGAAGCGUGAGUGACGGUAAUGGGUAAAGAAGCACCGGCUAACUACGUG
This 468-nucleotide ribosomal RNA is filed under the name uncultured bacterium. Its description in RNAcentral is "partial 16S ribosomal RNA". It matches the Rfam family "Bacterial small subunit ribosomal RNA", at positions 28 to 507 of the family's 1533-position model. The record is from RNAcentral.